This 483-nucleotide ribosomal RNA is filed under the name Moritella sp. RNAcentral describes it as "partial 23S ribosomal RNA". It matches the Rfam family "Bacterial large subunit ribosomal RNA", at positions 2452 to 2925 of the family's 2925-position model. Lineage: Bacteria; Pseudomonadati; Pseudomonadota; Gammaproteobacteria; Alteromonadales; Moritellaceae. The record is from RNAcentral.
ACGGAUAAAAGGUACUCCGGGGAUAACAGGCUGAUACCGCCCAAGAGUUCAUAUCGACGGCGGUGUUUGGCACCUCGAUGUCGGCUCAUCACAUCCUGGGGCUGAAGUUGGUCCCAAGGGUAUGGCUGUUCGCCAUUUAAAGUGGUACGCGAGCUGGGUUUAGAACGUCGUGAGACAGUUCGGUCCCUAUCUGCCGUGGGCGUUUGAGAAUUGAGAGGAGCUGCUCCUAGUACGAGAGGACCGGAGUGGACGAACCACUGGUGUUCGGGUUGUCAUGCCAAUGGCAUUGCCCGGUAGCUAAGUUCGGAACUGAUAACCGCUGAAAGCAUCUAAGCGGGAAGCAGGCCUCGAGAUGAGUUCUCACUGGAGCUUUAAGCUCCCUGAAGGGCCGUUGGAGACUACAACGUUGAUAGGCAAGGUGUGUAAGUGCUGUGAGGCAUUGAGCUAACUUGUACUAAUUACCCGUGAGGCUUAACCAUACAA